UGCCAACUGUCAAUUUCACACAAGAUAUGUAACUUCCGCUCCGCAAGGAAUAAAAUCCAUCAUUCGAUAACUUCGAUGGCUUACAAUUUCAAACAAUCCUUACGGUUGGGCAUUAUUUAUUUUAUUCUAUUCAAAAAUAAGGAAUCAGAUUUUUUGAUGAGUUGCUCUUUCUGUUUUCUCUUUUUUUUUUAUGCGUUGUGUUUUAGAAACUUUGGGAUUCCUGUGUGCGCGCCGGUGGAAGCACCAUAAAAAACAUUCCGAGAUCGCAAGCCGAAGCGAUUUUAUGCGUUUGUAGGGGAAUAAGCAUUGAUAAAAAACGAUGCCUAUCAAGUACUUUCCCAAGAUGAGCGUUGUUUCGAGGUGGGAGCGUCGCCAAAAGCCAAAUUUCCCUGCCAAUUUAGCUGUUGGUGUCACAGUUGGCCCAAGUUUGAAAGGUCAAUAACCUGUGAAGUGUUGUAUCUUCUUGGCGCUCUCAGCGCUCUGGAUUUUAUUAUCCCCAAAAUUUUAUUUCAGAUUCUAGGCAAGUAAGUGACUGUCUUUUCAGGAAAAAUGACCAUUUUUGAUAGAGCAAUGUACCAGAUGCGACUUUUAAGGCCUCAAUUUGUCGGUUUGACGAUCGUGCAAAAUGAUGGAUGCGAGGCUAUAUUUGAGAAAAUCUGUCAAAUAUUCUAUUUUAACUGGAUUAAGCCGAGAUUAAAAUAAUAUUGAGAGCACA
Molecule: long non-coding RNA, 715 nt
Organism: Nematostella vectensis (starlet sea anemone)
Lineage: Eukaryota; Metazoa; Cnidaria; Anthozoa; Actiniaria; Edwardsiidae
Exons: 2
Source: RefSeq, a predicted model, not a curated record